Molecule: small nucleolar RNA, 111 nt
Organism: Myotis lucifugus (little brown bat)
Lineage: Eukaryota; Metazoa; Chordata; Mammalia; Chiroptera; Vespertilionidae
Source: Ensembl
AAGAAAUUAACUUUCUGAAGAAAACUCUUUGUAAAUGUCCUAGAGAAAUAUAGUGGCUUUCUGUUCACCCUUUGCAAGUGGAAAGGGUGGAUCGUUCCUCUACUGACAUAU